AUUGAACGCUGGCGGCAGGCCUAACACAUGCAAGUCGAACGAGUGGCGGACGGGUGAGUAAUGUCUGGGAAACUGCCUGAUGGAGGGGGAUAACUACUGGAAACGGUAGCUAAUACCGCAUACCAUCAACUGUGCCCUGAUGUGAGUAGCUUGUUGGUGGGGUAACGGCUCACCAAGGCGACGAUCCCUAGCUGGCUUGAGAGGAGGACCUGCCACACUGGAACUGAGCCACGGUCCAGACUCCUACGGGAGGCAGCAGUAGGGAAUAUUACGCAAUGGGCGAAAGCCUGAUGCAGCCACGCCGCGUGUAUGAAGAAGGCCUUCGGUUUGUAAAGUACUGUCAGCGGGGAGGCGUUACCCGCAUAGGAAGCACCGGCUAACUCCGUGCCAGCAGCCGCGGUAAUUC
This 406-nucleotide ribosomal RNA is filed under the name uncultured bacterium. RNAcentral's name for it is "partial 16S ribosomal RNA". It matches the Rfam family "Bacterial small subunit ribosomal RNA", at positions 30 to 526 of the family's 1533-position model. The record is from RNAcentral.